Molecule: ribosomal RNA, 253 nt
Filed under: uncultured bacterium
Lineage: Bacteria
Description: partial 16S ribosomal RNA
Rfam family: Bacterial small subunit ribosomal RNA
Source: RNAcentral
UACGAAGGAUCCAAGCGUUGUCCGGAUUUACUGGGUUUAAAGGGUGCGUAGGUGGGGAAUUAAGUCAGUGGUGAAAGCUGGUAGCUUAACUAUCAAAUUGCCAUUGAAACUGAUUUUCUCGAGUACGGUUGAGGUAGCUGGAAUGUAACAUGUAGCGGUGAAAUGCUUAGAUAUGUUACAGAACACCAAUUGCGAAGGCAGGCUACUAAACCGUAACUGACACUGAGGCACGAAAGCGUGGGGAUCAAACAGG